UAAAGCAUAGGUUAAUUUAAACUACUACCGUUCAAAGGUGGAAAUACCUGAUAGGGUUGUUUUAU
This 65-nucleotide transfer RNA is filed under the name Geomydoecus aurei. Its description in RNAcentral is "tRNA-Trp". The record is from RNAcentral. Lineage: Eukaryota; Metazoa; Arthropoda; Insecta; Psocodea; Trichodectidae.